GACAGAGGGUGCAAACGUUGUUCGGAAUUACUGGGCGUAAAGCGCGUGUAGGCAGCUUGGCAAGUCGGGUGUGAAAGCCCUGGGCUCAACCUAGGAAGUGCACUCGAAACUGCUUCGCUUGAGUAUCGGAGAGGAAAGCGGAAUUCUCGGUGUAGAGGUGAAAUUCGUAGAUAUCGAGAGGAACACCAGUGGCGAAGGCGGCUUUCUGGACGAUUACUGACGCUGAGACGCGAAAGCGUGGGGAGCAAACAGG
Molecule: ribosomal RNA, 253 nt
Filed under: uncultured bacterium
Lineage: Bacteria
Description: partial 16S ribosomal RNA
Rfam family: Bacterial small subunit ribosomal RNA
Source: RNAcentral